UCAAGCUCUUCUGUGUCUAGAGGAAGAGCUACCCCGUGACCGGCUUAGAGAACUGGAAGAGGCCGCAACCUUUCUCCUGCUUGAAGCUGGAGGAUGGAUGGAGUCUGGAGCCCUGGAGCGUGGGACACUGUUUCGCUGUGGUUGGUGGUGGCGACAGAGCAGUAGGAGAGCGCCCGGCAGCGGGAGCUUCUCCUGCUGGGCUGGAGGACUAGGAGAAGGAAGAGGCACUGCCACAUGCUGGAGGCUGGAACCUGUGCCACCGUGGCUGGCCUGGCUCUGGUUGGUUCGCCUCGCUGUGGUUGGUGGUGACGUCGGAGACUGCAGCUCGGUCACAGUGGUAGAAAUGUGAUGGGGUAGGGAAGUUGGAAAUAGGCAAGAAUGGAGAGAAAUUUUGUAUGGCAGUACACAGAAUUUUGCAAGUUUAUUG
RNAcentral lists this long non-coding RNA (427 nucleotides) under Homo sapiens (human). Its description in RNAcentral is "non-protein coding lnc-POTEB3-13:7". Lineage: Eukaryota; Metazoa; Chordata; Mammalia; Primates; Hominidae. The record is from RNAcentral.